Molecule: ribosomal RNA, 254 nt
Filed under: uncultured prokaryote
Description: partial 16S ribosomal RNA
Rfam family: Bacterial small subunit ribosomal RNA
Source: RNAcentral
UACAGAGGGUGCAAGCGUUGUUCGGAAUUAUUGGGCGUAAAGGGCGCGUAGGCGGUGCGGUAAGUCACCUGUGAAAUCUCCGGGCUUAACUCGGAGCCUGCAGGCGAAACUACCGUGCUGUAGUGUGGGAGAGGUGCGUGGAAUUCCCGGUGUAGCGGUGAAAUGCGUAGAUAUCGGGAAGAACACCAACGGCGAAAGCACUCCGCUGGGCCGAAAACUGACACUGACAGACGAGAGCUAGGGGAGCGAAUGGG